CAUUUCACUUUCUUCUACACAACAGCAGGUUCCAAGAACUGGUUAGCAUCAUCUGCACAAGCUUGAUGGAAAAUCAAGAUUUUUCUUUUUCUUUUUUGGUUUUGUGAUUUUGUUUGUAUCCAGGUGUUUGAACCACAUUAGGCUGGAGCAUGAUUAAGAGAGACUUAUUGCCCCUACUGUGUACUGAGUUCUCUUACAUAAUUUCUUUAAAUGCAUUGCUGUUCAUUCAUAGGAUUUCAAUUUAAUACCCUGUGGAUAUUGUUUCAUUCACUAGAAAUUUAAGCUUUGCAUUCGAAAGAGUUAAGGUCCUUUCCUUUCAUAUGAUGGAAAAACUCAAUUAUUUGCCAAACGACCUUUGAACUAAAUGGCACCUCCUCCCUCCAUAAGAAUGUGAUGGUGAGUGGAAGUAUGGGUUUUAUGUGUUGUGUAAGAAGCGGGUUCAACACAUGAAAAUCUGAUUUGUUAUUAGGUUUUGGAGACCUGCCCUGUUUUCACUUACUCCCUCGGGUCAUGAGAGUUUAUAGGUUAUUGUUUAUGAUUAAUGUUUCUCCUGAUAGAGUAGAAUGUAGCGUGGGUGCAUUAGGGCUUGGAAACCUAAUGCUUGAUUUAGGUUUUGUUGUAUAUCUAAUUUUUUUUGGGAAUAAAAUUUACUUAUCCAAAAGAAAAACAAAAAAGCUCAAUUGUCACUGCAGCCUAUAUAUUUACUUGCCUGUCUUGAAAAUUUGAAAGUAAAGAUCAAGACGGUCAUUACAUAGAUUUGGUUUUAAUUAGGUCCGGCGUGAGUAUAAUUAGUUUUGUUUUAUGUGUGUUAGAUUGGUUGUUAGAUUGAGAUGGGACCAUUUCAUGUGAUUGACAUUGGUUUCAGAUUGGUUCUUUGCUUGUUUGGACUUUUCUUUUUGGUAUGAUGUUGAAAAUAAAUCCAAUUGCAUUUUGUAUUUUGAGCCUGUCAACUGUUCGAUGAAAUGCUCGGGUGAAAAACAGCCUCUCUACUCUAGUAUAAGAAAAACGGCCUGCCAACAUCAGAAGAACUCUUGCUGAUUGUUCUUGAACCUUACUGUCACAUAUUUGAUAAUCCAAAGCUGUUAUCAUUGCCCCAACCACUUCUUCUCUAUAUACAUUGAACUCCAUAGUAUUACCCUGCAGCAUAAGUGCUAUUGGUUAUGGGAAUUUCUCAAGAAUGCACAACUUUAUCAUACAAAUGGCUUGUUUGGUCUCUCAGAAUAUUUGACUAACAUUUUAUGUUUGUAUGACAAUGAAUGUGCAAGACUUAGAAGGUGCUAAUACUGGUCUUGUAUUCAUUUGAGUGGUGAUGGGAGAAACGUUGUGUAGAGCUAACUAAAUGACUUCGUGUGGAUCUAACAAAAUGUUUUGUGCAAACGUUUACAUUUGAUGCCAUCUCAAGUGGAAGGGAGAAACACCUCCUACUGAGAGAAAAAAAACUCUCAAUUCCCACCUCACAAACCCUAGCUAUGCCUUGUCCAUCUACAAUAUAUGUGUUGAGGGAAGCACAAGAGGAUAUGAUGAAUGAGGAGAGUGGAGGUGGGAGGAUUGGCUUGUGGAUGGGACAAACCAUGUUAAUGGUCCUUCCUCGAGUCAAGAUUGGGACAAUGGGGUAGGGGAGUCUAUGGAAGAUGUGCGGGCAGAUCCCACUGAGAUGGUUCCUGCGAACGGUUUGGCUGAGUCUGUGGGGGAUUUGGUCCUUGGACGGGAAUAUGAUGAUAUGCUCUACGAAGACCAAGUAUUUCGAUAUGCCUCACUGAAUUCGGUAUGUUGCAGUUGCAAAUGAACCUUUCUUGUCGACAUACAAUGGAAAGCUUCAAUCUGCCUUGAUAAAAGCUGGUCUUAGCAACAGAGUGAAGGUGACAAUCCCCCUUAAUGCUGAUGUGUAUGCGAGCUCAACUGAGCUUCCUUCUGGUGGUGACUUCUGUGCUGACAUCCACGACCUAAUGCUUGGCAUUGUCAAGUUCUUGAAUGACAAUGGUGCUGCUCCCUUCACUGUGAACAUCUAUCCAUUUAUAAGCCUCAACACUGACGCCAACUUCCCCGUUGAGUAUCCCUUCUUUGAUGGCAGUGCAUCACCUUUAGUUGAUGGUGGGGCGAGCUACUACAAUAGGUGAUUGCUAUCAUCCACUCCUUAGCUUAGUAGCUCCAUUGUGUCUGGCUAAAGCUGUACAAAGUCAUGAACAUCAACGUCUGUAAACAGAAUUUACAAUUGUAAACAAACUUUACAGUUGUAAACAAAGUUUACAGGUGAAGAGGGUGAGCUUCACUAACUCAGUAAGUAAACGCACAAAAUGUGAUAAAUCAUAAGUUGCAAACAUUUAUUGGAAACAAUUCUUUAUUGCAAGUCAUAAUAAAGCAUGCAAAAUAAUUAUUUUGAAAAUUAUGUAACCAACUCUAAGCAUAAACUUGGAAGAGAAUAACUUCAAUGUGGUCCAUGCAUAAAAGUGGACUUUUGUGGAAACUAUUUAGUGGUUGCCACAUUAGCUAGAACAUUCUAACAAAAAAAUAAACACCCACACUUAAUUAUAUCAGGUUUUAUUAUUUUUUAAAACAAAACAAAUGGAGAGGGUGGCAAAGGGAGGUGGGGCGGUUCGUCGCCACCCCCAGUGGCCGGAGGUGGCCGCGAGCUGCCCCUAGUGGCCGAGUGUGGCCACGAGCCAACCCCAGCGGCUUGGGGGAGAGAGAUUCGGCCACUGGGGGUGGAUCGCGGCCACCCCCAGCGGCCUGGGGGUUGGCCGCGAUCCACCCCCAGCGGUCUACUCCAAGCCGCUGGGGGUGGCCGGAUCUCUCUCCCCCAGGUUGUCGGAUCUCUCUCCCCCAAGCCGUUGGGGUGGAUCGCGGCCACCCUCAGGCAGCUGGGGGUGGCCGAAUCUCUCUCCCCCAGGCCGUUGGGUGGAUCGCGGCCACCCCCUGCGGCCUUGGGGUGGUCGGAUCUCUCUCCCCCAGGCCGUUGAGGUGGAUUGCGGCCACCCCUAGGCCUUUGGGGGCGAAUCGCAGCCAACCCCUAGGCCUGGGUGGCGGCGACAGGGAGAGGCUGGGCGGUGUCUGGGCGUGAGCAGUGGAUGGAACCGGUAGGGAGUGGUGGCUAAUGUCUUCGAGGGAAAAUUAAUCCUAUUUUUUGCUUACAUACAUUUUUUUUUGCAUUUUUCUUAAAAUGUUGAUGUGUCAAAAUUUGUGUGGUUUGCACUAAAGCUCUCUUUUGUGCAACGACCACACAAGAUGCACUCAACUUGGAAUCAUGUGAAGCUUAUAAAUCAAUCAAAGCUUUCCUUCCCUUUUUCAUGAGCAAAAAACCCAUAAACCUAGGCCCAUAAAAGGUUGGGGAGGCUGCACGGAUGCCACUAGGCAUGAUUAGUCAUGAUGAAUAUAUAUGUCUAUGAUCAUUUCACUCACCUUCCUUCUUUCUUCUCACCUACGGCUGUAAUUUGUUAGUUAAGAACUGCGCAUAUAUAUAUAUAGCUCUGCUCAUCAAUCAUCAAACCAUCAAACCCUCAAUUUGCUUUCAACGUUUCCACCUACGAGUCGAGCUUUUGUUUCUUGGUGCACUAAAAGCGAUGGAGGUAGUUUCUAUAUAUAAUGUAAUCUCUUCGCAUUGGUUGCUGUUUUCUCUUAUUCAAACAAAAUCGCUAUGAAACUCAUUACAGGUUGUUGAGCUGAAGGUACGCCUGCACUGCAAAGCUUGUGAGAAAGCAGUCCGCAAAGCCUUGUGCAAGAUUAAAGGGGUAACUUGCGUGGAAAUAGAUGUGGUAUUGAACAAGAUCACAGUGCUGGGCUACAUUGACCGUAAAGUUGUGGUGAAAGCUGUGCGCAAGACAGGAAGAAGAGCUGAGGUGGUAUGGCCAUCAUCAUGUCACUGGGAGAAGGCUGAGAAGCCCAGAUCACUUCCAACUGGUUUUGGGUGCGUCAUCCCUAGAUGGGGUUUCUAAACUUAAUUUAAAAUUAAUGUAAUCUUUUGGUUGCAAGAAUGAGAAAAAUAAUAAAUUCAUUUUCCCUACAUUAUUUCA
Non-coding RNA from Corylus avellana, 4007 nucleotides. The record is from RefSeq and is a predicted model, not a curated record. NCBI's taxonomy places the organism in Eukaryota, Viridiplantae, Streptophyta, Magnoliopsida, Fagales, Betulaceae.